Molecule: non-coding RNA, 267 nt
Organism: Pelobates cultripes (western spadefoot toad)
Lineage: Eukaryota; Metazoa; Chordata; Amphibia; Anura; Pelobatidae
Source: the annotation of a GenBank genome assembly
GAAGCCUCUUUAAAUUCUAAUCGUAUUGUAAUGCCGCAUAGGUAAUAUAUAUCCUAUAGGGGUAUUUGUGAAUUAGGUUUACUUACCUGUUAAUUGUUUUCCUGAUCUGCGUCUCAAAUUGUGCACAGCCAUAUUCUUUCUGUAGAUUAUCGCCAUUACUGUUUAAUAGAAUAUUAACACAAAUUUUGCAACAAAGGAAAACACCAGUCUAUAUAAUUGAUCAUCUAAAACAAUGUGGCGGGGACCCUGUGCAGUAGAGUAUUAUGG